RNAcentral lists this ribosomal RNA (966 nucleotides) under uncultured Dyella sp. RNAcentral describes it as "bacterial SSU rRNA". It matches the Rfam family "Bacterial small subunit ribosomal RNA", at positions 44 to 993 of the family's 1533-position model. The record is from RNAcentral. Lineage: Bacteria; Pseudomonadati; Pseudomonadota; Gammaproteobacteria; Lysobacterales; Rhodanobacteraceae.
AGGCCUAACACAUGCAAGUCGAACGGCAGCACAGCAGUAGCAAUACUGUGGGUGGCGAGUGGCGGACGGGUGAGUAAUGCAUCGGGACCUGCCCAGACGUGGGGGAUAACGUAGGGAAACUUACGCUAAUACCGCAUACGUCCUACGGGAGAAAGCGGGGGAUCUUCGGACCUCGCGCGGUUGGAUGGACCGAUGUUCGAUUAGCUAGUUGGCGGGGUAAAGGCCCACCAAGGCGACGAUCGAUAGCUGGUCUGAGAGGAUGAUCAGCCACACUGGGACUGAGACACGGCCCAGACUCCUACGGGAGGCAGCAGUGGGGAAUAUUGGACAAUGGGCGCAAGCCUGAUCCAGCAAUGCCGCGUGUGUGAAGAAGGCCUUCGGGUUGUAAAGCACUUUUAUCAGGAGCGAAACGCUGCCGGCCAAUACCCGGCGGAACUGACGGUACCUGAGGAAUAAGCACCGGCUAACUUCGUGCCAGCAGCCGCGGUAAUACGAAGGGUGCAAGCGUUAAUCGGAAUUACUGGGCGUAAAGCGUGCGUAGGCGGUGACUUAAGUCUGCUGUGAAAUCCCCGGGCUCAACCUGGGAAUGGCAGUGGAUACUGGGUCGCUAGAGUGUGAUAGAGGAUGGUGGAAUUCCCGGUGUAGCGGUGAAAUGCGUAGAGAUCGGGAGGAACAUCAGUGGCGAAGGCGGCCAUCUGGAUCAACACUGACGCUGAGGCACGAAAGCGUGGGGAGCAAACAGGAUUAGAUACCCUGGUAGUCCACGCCCUAAACGAUGCGAACUGGAUGUUGGUCUCAACUCGGAGAUCAGUGUCGAAGCUAACGCGUUAAGUUCGCCGCCUGGGGAGUACGGUCGCAAGACUGAAACUCAAAAGGAAUUGACGGGGGGCCCGCACAAGCGGUGGAGUAUGUGGUUUUAAUUUGAUGCAACGCGGAAGAACCUUACCUUGGCCUUGACAUGUCCUG